AUUGGAGAUGCAUAUGGGGUGAGAAUGUUUGCUCUAGUUCAUGUUUCUAAAAUGCUCUAUGUGUUGCUAAAAAUACUUUGUAUGCCAUGUCAUAACAAAGAGGAAUUGGAACUAUUUAUUUCAGUGUUCCUAAUUCUUGUCAGAAUGUGACCUGGAAUUGUGACACAGAAUUUUUCAAAGUCAGCCUGGGAGAAGGGGUGUACAUUCAUCAAUGUUUUUACCUUAGUCACCUAUGCAGCGGCACUUGUGAAGCUCUAGCCCAGGUUCUAAAGAGGAAAAGGCCCUGCUUCUGUAUUGGUUAUUCAUGCAAGCCAAACAAUUUUCCCCAGUUUCCUGAACAGCAACACUCAGCAACAGGAGAGAAAUCUCUUUCUGCAGACAUGUUCAACAAGCAAGGUUUAAUGUUCAGUGCAGCAUGUGUCUGGAAUAUGCAUAAGAUGGAGACAGGCUUGAGAGCUUACCUGACCGAAGUGAACUGUUUUGCUGCAGACAACCUAACUGCUCGCGCAAUCACACAGAAAAAUUUUGAUGCUGCUGCUUUCCAAUAUUAUGAAUGA
Molecule: long non-coding RNA, 557 nt
Filed under: Pogona vitticeps (central bearded dragon)
Lineage: Eukaryota; Metazoa; Chordata; Lepidosauria; Squamata; Agamidae
Description: lncRNA (ENSPVIG00000024020.1)
Source: RNAcentral